UUUACGAGGCAACUGGAAAAUGAGCAUAUUCCUGAGUUCUGAAAAAUCACAAUCACAAAACACUGUAGGUUAAGAACUGAUAAUAUUAUGUAUUUUGAGAGAAAUUCUUUUUUAAUAUUUAGAUCCAAAAAUUACUAAUAGACAGUGUUAGAAUCCAGGGACCAUUAGCCAAAAUGUUCAAGAAUAAUUUGUGAAUGUAGAAUGGGUUUAAACUAUUAAGGAUAUUGCAAAAUUAUGUCUUUUUAGUAAAGGCGGAGGACUAGUUUUGGGGGAUAAGGCGGCCACUAUAUAAGUUUGGCGCAAGAUUUCGGCGUCAGAGCUUACCUGACAUCGUUGUUCACAGCCUCUCUAAGCUUCCUGGUGAGCUGCUGUCCCUCCCUCCCCACCCUCCCUGCUAGCCUGGUAUAUAUGCGAUACGGCCGUCAGGGAGAAACAGAAAGUAUCCAAGCCGAGAUGAAGCAGUUCAUAGUAGCCAUCGUGUUCAUCGGGGUGCUGGCCCUGUGCGCGGCCCUUCCUGCACCAGAGCCCCUCCCAGUGGCCCUCCCUGAAGCCCUGCCAGAGCCUCAAUUUCCCGGCUUCCGCGGAAAUAUAUUUAGAGGAGGGUUUGGAGGUCGAGGAGGAGGAGGGAGGUUUGGAGGUCGAGGAGGAGGAAGGUUUGGAGGUCGAGGAAGAGGAGGAUUUGGAUUUCGAGGAGGAAGGUUUGGAGGUGGAAGAAGAAUUUUCGGCUGACAUGGUUUCGGUCACGGCGGUGGUGCUCCCCACGCCCACAUUUCUCUUGGACAAGGCGUCCUCAACCUACUCGUCCACGACCACUAACACUCCCUGAUUGCGACUCUAUAUAGUACUAUGACUCUAUAUAUAAGUCUACCUACCACUGAUUCUUGUCUAUACGUCUGUUUCUAAUGAAUGAAAUAAUGUCUUGAA
This is a long non-coding RNA of Scylla paramamosain (green mud crab), 924 nucleotides long. RefSeq lists it as uncharacterized. The transcript is spliced from 3 exons. NCBI's taxonomy places the organism in Eukaryota, Metazoa, Arthropoda, Malacostraca, Decapoda, Portunidae. The record is from RefSeq and is a predicted model, not a curated record.